UUGAGAGACGAAUCUUUUAAUGUGGCAGAAUCUCCUGAAUUAAGUGGCCCACAUGCACCCAUCAUUGUCUCAAAGACUUCUGAUCAGCGUGCACGAGUUCCAAAUGACUCAAGAAGUCUGUCGGGUGUCCUCGGGAAACCCGAAUCAUCCACGUUUUAACUCAUACAGGAUCAACAUGGAGUUACCACAACAUUACAAUAUUUGUUACAAAAAUAACUUACAUCAGAGUGCGGAAGAUUUAUAACUUAAUUUACAACAUAUGAUGAAGUACAAACUUAACUAAAAUUUUAAAAGGUGUGUACAGUAGCGGAAGCAUCCUAGGUGAAGCUUCUAAGGUAGAAGAGGUGGAUAAAUCAUGUCGCGCCCACCGACAUGACCUCCAUUAGCAGUCUAAGUCAGCACCUGCAACAGGGGUUAUAAAACCCUGAGUACAAAAGUACUCAACAAGACUUAACCGACUAGAAAAGAGGUGAAGACUCAGGUAUGCAGGCUAUAGGGAUUCAAAGUAAGGCUUUAGCAAGAUCCAAACAUUUCUUUUGCAUAAAAGCUUACUAAGAGUAAAACCUACUUUCAAGUUUUAACUCAAAAUCAUCAUUUAUGACUAACCAAAGCUAUUAUCAAACUUGCAUAAGCAUACCACAUCUUUCUUAUACCAAAGAUUCACUUAUUACUACGAUGAUGGUACGAGGAUUGAGGCUCCAUAUCCGAGGAAACACGGCGAUUCGAAUCGAUUAAACCCAGCUGGGGAUUCAGUACCACACGACAUAUGUAGAACUUAAUCUUGCAUAUGUCAACCUUUUCUAUAGAUCCUCCCAUACAAGAACGGGUCCAGCGUCACCCGAGAGUACAGUACACCACCAUCCUACAGCCAAUCUAGAUGUUUCCCGGUCAUCUCAGAUCCGUAAGGUGGGUACACGCUACUCUCGCCAUCUUUCCACUCCCAGUACGCGGUUAGCCGUUCUCAAGUAUCGGAAUAGCUAUAGGUAAGGCUUACCAGCGCAUGUGGGCUGUACUCAAAGUUCUCAAUCACAACAGGCCAAUCAACGGUACGGUCCUUAAUCGACACAGUUGGAGACACUACUUUAAGACUCCAUUCUUAAAGCAAGUCCACCGACCGGUCUCAAGUUGAAAUAUUAUUGACCAUAAAAGUAUGCCACAACAACCCUUCAAACUUUCUCAUUUGAAAGCCUAUCUAAUAAGCAGGGCUAAGCAUACUAAGCAUUUUCAUAAAGCAAGUACCAAGGUUAAUAUUGAAAUCAUCAAGGUAGAUAAUGCAGCAAAUAGGAUUCACUCAACUCCUAUUCACCUAAUGCAUCAUAUUAACUCAAGUGAUAUAAAUAACUUUAUGAAAAUACAAGGAUAGGGUUUAAUGUCCGGGGCUUGCCUUGGCCGGAAGGGAAGUCCGACAACUCAGCAAAACCAGAUGAACCCACAAACUCGGAAGCAACCCACUGAGGAUUAGAUUCCUCCGGAGCGUAGUCUACACGUAGAGUUGCAUAUGCAUGAUCAAUGAGAUGCUCAUGAUAUGAUAAAGACAGGUUACAUGUUCUUGGAUGAUAACAACAAUCAUAACUACCUCGAGUACAACUUACCUUCACGGUAUAGAGACAAACUAACUUAGCUAUCAAAACAUAAAUUACUACUAAGCAAAUUUUAUCAUCUUCAUUAAACAAGGUUGUGAAGCUAUCAUACAACAAAGAUCAUUUAUAUGAAAUAAACCAUAGCAUAUCAUGCCAAGUAACCACUGGUUGUCAAUCAAUCCCAAAGAUCAAUCAAAACCUAAAAUGAUUAGGUUUUCUAUUUAUCUUAAUCAAUUCUUAAUUAAAUAUUAAUGGCAGUAACUAAGUAUUAACAUCAAACAAUAAUUAAGUGCCAAAGGUCAUAAAAGAUAAUGACCUCAGGUCAUCACACAAUCCCAAAAGCACUCAAAUUCUAAUUUGGAAAUUAAGUUACUCAUUAUUUAAGUAAAGGCUAGCUAAAAACAAUCAACCCUAUUUGCACACAUAACCAGGACAGCAGCAUAUACACAACUUCAUUCAACCAUAAUUAGAUAUCCAAGCAUCCAACAAAGGUGAUAUUAGGCUUUCUGGAAAGCUUAUAUAAUUUUCUACAACUUUGUUAUUAUCUUCGAGAACUGAUUUAAUAGAUAACAUGGCCAAACAGUAUGAAUAAACAAUUCUGUCCAGACCUUGGACAGAAUCAGACAUUAAGCUUCAUACAUCUAUAACCAGAGUUCUAGAUCACCAAAAUUCAUGAUCCAUAACAUUUUGGAAAGCUUAUGAAAAUUACUACAAUUCAUCUUUUAUCAUGAAAACAUAAUUCAUAAGUUUAGUAGGUUGAAAUUGCACAACUACAGAAACUGAUCCAGGAUUUGACAGAAAGAAACCAUUUCUGAAACUUAAAUUUAAACAGGCAUAACUCAGAAACUAUAGGGCCAAAUGCCACCAAAAUUUAACACCAGCUAGAUACAUGAAUUCUAUACAACUUUGUUAUAGACAAGUUUCAUAUCCAACAUUAUUUACCUAGAGCAAUUCAUAAGGUUCCAGAAACUGUCCAGAAAUCACUAAUAAUUUAAUUGUAGACAAAUAACAUUUCAUUUAUGUUCCAAACUUGGACCUGGGCAAAACCCAGCUCACCAAAAGUUGAAAUACAUCAAAGAGAUACUAGAAAAUAUCAUGGUCAUCCCUAAAUAAAUUCUUUUUAUGUCUUUAUUAAUUUAUUUAGAUAAAUAGACAAAGUAAUAACCAUAUAUCAAAAGUACACAAUAAAUUCUGAGAAAACUACAGCAGCUCAUAUAUGCUCUCCAAAGUCUACUGUAUAAAUUUCAUGCCAUUUGAAUAAGUAUAGCAGUUUCCAUGAAAAAGAUAAAUUUCCAUCACAAGAAAGCAUGUAGCAACAAGAUAAAUAAGAAACUCGACAUUUUCUACAAACACAUAGCUAAAUUAUGUAUCUGUAUGAUAUAAAGACCUCAUAUAAAGGCAGAGGAACCAUAUUUUACAUUUAUUUAUUUUUAGUUUAAUUUUAAACUAUUUAAUAAGCACUAAACAAGAUAAAUUAAUAACUUAACCAUAUAUCAUCUACUGAACAUGAAAUUUCUACUGUAACACUCACAUAACAUCACGAGAACACCAUAAAAAUUUCAGGGCAAUAGGAUCUACACAGAAUAAGAUAUGAAUUUCUCCUUUUUAAACAUAAUUAAAAGGCAUAAAUCAUAACCAAUUAUUUUACUACAAAACAUGGUCAGUUUCAUAUUUUUAAUAAAAACUAGACAUCUCAAGGAGCACAACAAAAUUUGGUUCACCAAAAUUGGAGUUGCCAAACUCCAGAUAUGAAUUUUCAAACAUUCAACAAAACAUCUACAAACAAGUCCUUAUAGCACUAUUCACCUGAGUCACAGUCUGUGCAGAAAGACCCCUAGAGAACUUCAAAUUGUUGCGCGUGGUCCCUGGUCGCGAAUCCAGAGCAGAGGAUGUCGGAGAAAACCUCUUUUCCGGCCGAUGGACGCUUGAUGGCAGCGAGGGAAAGCGUUGGGGAGCAUCCUGAGGCUCGUGCGCUCGCGCUGGUGUGUGUGGCUUGGCCGGAGAAGGUUUAUGGCCUCCUGGCCACGUGCGCAGGCUCCCAUGGCGGCCAUGGCGGAGCUCUGUGACGGAAAACCGGCUCACGGCCGAGUCCGACGAGGGAAGAGAGUAUUAGCUGGCUUAGACGAUGCUCAAGGAUGCUGCGGAGCAGAGGAAAACAACAACGGGGCUGAGGUGGGAGGAGCGAGAUGAAUUCCAUCGGCGUGGCGUUUUCGGUCGCAGAAAUGAAGAAACUCGACGUCGGUCGUGGGGGCGCUCAAGAGGACGAGGCGAAGGGGUCGCGGACGUCCACGUCGCGCGGUGACGCGGCCGGCAAGCAGCUGCGUGGCGACAGGGCGCGCGCGCGGCUCUGCCCGCUCUGCGGCCGGCGGGACAGAGGAGCCCC
Molecule: long non-coding RNA, 3963 nt
Filed under: Sorghum bicolor (sorghum)
Lineage: Eukaryota; Viridiplantae; Streptophyta; Magnoliopsida; Poales; Poaceae
Description: long non-coding RNA (SBIC_LNC011461)
Source: RNAcentral